AUGCUCCGGAUCCUCGGGAGGCCGGGGCGCGGCGCUGGAGUCACUUCAGCCCACGUCGUUCCGGUGACAAAAGGGAAAACUCUGGGUGUGCAAAACGUCUCGGGGUUUCGGGGCCGGCGGUUCCGGGCGCGCCUCGCCGGCUGCGGCGCAGAACUACAACCCCCAGGCUCCCCGGCGUGGCGGCACGUGGGCCCGGGCCUAGCCGCCGCGGCUAUAAAGUGCUGCGGGGCUGCCAAGCCGAGCGGCGGCACGGACCGAGCGGAGACUUGGCUAUACCUGCUGGAAUGGAUAAAGCGAGUUUUAAAAGUUGGUCAGACUGAAGAGAUUGAAGUGAGAGAACCACAGGAACAAAGGCAAGCAGACAGACGGUGGUAGGUAGGAGGAACAGGAAACAGUUUGUUCAGCUGGGCAAGUACAGUGCAGGAAGGAAGAUUUGAAUAGAGACCCAGACCCAGGGAGUUGGGUCUUUAGCCUACUGGCAUUUUCUAAACAGGACAAAGACAAGACCAGAAAUGCUGGUGUUACUGGAAGAUUAAUCUGACAGCUGGUGUGAAUUGAAGAAAGAAUAGGGAUUAGGACAGUGAUUGCCAACCACUAUCCUACACUCCCACAGGCCCCUUGUUUUGAAUUUUUGAACUAAUCAAACUACAUUUGUGAUCAUUAGUUUUAUUUCUUUCCAUCAAAGGCACAUAUAAAAUUGCCAGUUUGAGCUUCUGAUGAUUCUAAGAACAUCCGUGUUACUGUCCUAAGUAUGAAAUAAAUGCAGGCAAAAACACAAAAACACCCGUGGCGUUUUAUUUAGCCUGAACGGCCUAGUAGUGUUGGAUUUAGGAGAUGUUUAAUACUGACUCAAGUUCUCAGGACUCUAUCACUUGAACCUUCUUGGGCCCCUUGGACCUGAGGUUUUGCCUAUUGGUCUAGAUAAGAGGUAACAAAGGGGCAAAUUACAAAGGCGUAAAGAGGAAAAGAGGAAUUGCAGGGGAAGAAGGUAACAGAAUUGGAAUGACCUACUCCCUAAAUAGACAAGAGUAGUCAGGGUUGGAAAGGAGGCACCAGCAGAGCAAAGAUGACUGGGAAGAUGAUGCUGGUAAGAGCGUAAUAUUUUCUGCUGUCCUGUACACAUCAGGCAAGACUUCAUGGAGGGCACUGAACACAUAUGUGCCCAGCAUUGUUGUUAAUCACUUUACGUGAAUUAGUUCAUUUACUUCUCUCAACAACGAUGUGAAAAACAAUUACUAUUAUCCUCCUUUAUCGAAGGGGAAACCGAAGCAGAAAGAGGUUAUUUAAUGGGCUCAAGGUCACCUAGCUGGUAAGUGGUAGAGCCAGGAUGCAGAUCCAUGAGGCCCGACUCCAGAGCUGGCCCUCUCACCCCUCUAGUAAGGAAUAAAGGAGAUGGCAGGUUCCCUUUGGGCAUGUUGAGAUGCUUAUAGGAGUGCUAGGUGAAGAUGUACAGUAGGCAUAGCAUCAAUCUCCUUUGAUGCUUAAACAUCCCUCCAGGGGGAGAUGGCCUAGGUUAUUGGCCUUUAAGGCUCAGAAGCUAACUGGCCUGCUGAUUGUACUGAAGGUAAUCACAUGAGGCCCAAAGAGUGAUUAGAGCCACAUCUUAUGAUUUCUUAUCUUGUGUUUUUCCAUGGUCCAGGUUAUGAGAUUCAUCUUUCUAAACUUCCAGCCUGAUUUUAGUCUCAUGUUUGAUUAAGAAAUACAGAGCAAAGCUACAUGCAGGACUUGCUCUUGAUUUUAGGAGCAAGCCUUUCUGGGAACAUGUCUGUUUGCAAGGAAAGUAUCAUGUUGUCUUUCUACUGAAAGCAGUCAGUAUUUCUCAAGGGCUUACCUGAGCCAAGACUCCUGGGGAAGGAAAAUAGAAGAUCUGGUCUCUAUACUUCUGAAGUUUAUUCUCCUAUUUGGGAAGAUAAGAUGAACAAUUAGAGCAAACAAAACAAACUUACAUAACUAAGUACUACAUUAUGUGGGUUAGAUUUAAGUGUAGUGGGCAUUGAGUUUUUGAAUGUGCCAGUAAUGUCAGAACUAUAGCAUAACCUUUGUUGGUCACCGAUAAACAUCACUUUAUUUGCUACAAGGCCACUAUCUUUUGUAGAAUUGUCAUCAAAUACUAUCUGAUUAUAUUUUAUUUUCAUUUUCAAUCGUUAGACGUUACAUUUGGAGCUUUGAAUUGCAUUUGUGGCUUAUGUCUUAUGCUCAAAAAACAGUAAUGCUUCUACAACCAGCGAAUGUCAGAGCUGCGAGUUGAACCAGGUGUUCUGCCUGUGGGACCCAGGCUGUUAACCAGUCUGCUCUGUUGCUUCUUGUGGCCCAUCUGGAGUCUUUUACACUGAUUAUGGGCAGGUACAAUCUGCCAGAUGAUGGGAGAUCCUUUGGCCCCCAAUAAGUGGUGUGAGUUUAACUCUUUCAGUGGUGAACUCCCUGUCUGUGGAAGCCAUUAUCCAGCCACAGUUCUGAUCACUUCGUUCAGUCACCCAUGUGUUCUUCUCUUUUGAAUUGAACACCUGGUGUCAAGCAGAGGGCUCACCGCAGAGAGCAAAGGCAAAUAAAACAUCCCUGUCCUGGGGUCCUGCUCUAGUGGGGAAGAGGGAGGUGAAUAUGCAGUUUACAUGGUUAACUAGAACUAGGAAAACUGGACAGAACUGGGCAAAAUUAGGAUGUGAAAAGUUAGGUAAAUCUGAAGGUAGUUAUGUAAAUCAUAAUGAAACCUUAAGACAGGCUUGUUUUAGGUGAGAUUCUAGCUUAAGAAUGAAGACAAUGCAAAGAGAAAAUGUCCCCCUUUGUGACCAUAUUUCAGUUUAAGUAAUAGUACAGUUGACUCUUGAAUUACAUGGGUUUGAAGUGUGCAGGUCCAUUUACGUGGAUUUUUUUCAACUAAAGGCAGAUAGAAAAUCAGUAUUUGCAGGAUUCAGAAUUCUUAUAUGCCAGGCUGGGGCUGUGUGACUUGAGCAGGCGUGGAUUUUUAUAUAUGUGGGGGUCCUGGAACUGAUCCUCUGUGUAUACUGAGGCAUGGCUAUAAUUCAUUGUAUGUUUUACUUACCUGAGUCAGGUUCAAGCUCUUUCCUGGGCCUGCUGCUGUUUACCCUUAUCCUUUGCGGUCUUAGAUGGCUUCUAUCAUCUGUGUAGAUAAAACGGGAGCCUGUCCACAUAGUAUUUUCUCAGGUCUACCCUCUCCUGUCUUAAAGUUUCCUCCUUGGCAGAAUUAAGCUCUAAAAUUUUACCAUCUUAUACUUGCUCUGUGUGUUUGUGUACUUGUAAGCACAAUUUAGAGUUCUAAACUAGAAAUGGACUUUGGGAGUUUUAUCAUUGACAUUCCUUGAAGAAAAAGAGAAA
Long non-coding RNA from Callithrix jacchus (white-tufted-ear marmoset), 3333 nucleotides. The record is from Ensembl. Lineage: Eukaryota; Metazoa; Chordata; Mammalia; Primates; Cebidae.